This 224-nucleotide long non-coding RNA is filed under the name Dermacentor andersoni. Its description in RNAcentral is "uncharacterized LOC126545887". Lineage: Eukaryota; Metazoa; Arthropoda; Arachnida; Ixodida; Ixodidae. The record is from RNAcentral.
CCACGAAGCACAUCAUGGCGAACAUGGCGAACACCUGUCGAUGAAAGAGGACAUUUUUCGAAUGACGCUGGCACCGCGCUGAAAGAAAAUACAGAAAACCACCAUGCUUUAGGUUUUUCUGUCUCUCCUUCCUUUCCGCUGAGGCCUCUAAAGCAGGCACAACUAUUUAAGACAUGUUUAUUUCUUGGGUGAAAAUUGUGUUGCAAACAAAUAAGUCUAGUGAA